Non-coding RNA from Chiloscyllium plagiosum (whitespotted bambooshark), 1309 nucleotides. Lineage: Eukaryota; Metazoa; Chordata; Chondrichthyes; Orectolobiformes; Hemiscylliidae. The record is from RefSeq and is a predicted model, not a curated record.
GCCCUGUCCAAUGGGUUGGGGUGGGAAGCUCCAUUUGCACCAACUGAGGACAAUCAGAGGCAGGUAUUCGGCACAGGGUGAUGGCCUCUUCCUCUGACCUUCACUGCCCGAUUCUCUCUCCCUAUGAUCCCACUCCAUUGUCAAGGUCUGGAUUGGCCAAGAAGCUGACUGGUCAAACCUAAACAAGCUAUAUGGGAAGUGAUCUGGUGAACGUUGCUCGAAAGAGACAUGGUAAUUCCAUCGCUGCAGAACCUGAAGGGAGGUCAAUAACAUUGGCCUCAGUUCAGGAAGGAGACAGUUCGUCAAGGCUUCAGCUCUGGGUUGACAGACUUCAAAACUUGUUACAAGUACAACUUCUGCCAGAAGUGCCUUCAGGCAUUACACCAACACCUGGUGCAGUUGAAGAGCCUAUGAUUUGUAUCUUGAAGAUGUAGUACAUGUGGACUUCAGGAAGCAUUUGAUAAGGUGCUACACAAAAAGUUAAUACACAAGCAAAUCAUCCUGACAGGAUCAGAAAUAAUGGGUUUCAACAGGCCCAUUUCAAGAUGCUUUUCCAAUAAAGGCAAGUGAGCCUGAGGCUCUACUCUCGAAAAACAGGAGAUUGGGAGUGAGGCCUCUGAAGAAUGUUGUUCCCAAGCAUGGGGCCCAGCGGUCAGCAACUGUGAUUAAAGCUGUACACUAGUGGUGGUUUGCUUUUGGUUAACCAGCCAGAAUUGUGGUAAAUAAAUGUUGCAUUUAGUAACUUUCCACAUACUUGUCUCAUGUUAACAAUCACAUCCACAAGUAAGCGCUUUGCUCCUUAAGUGUUAUAUAACAUGGGCAAACCUUAGUUACUUGAAGAUUAUAUAUAAACAAUAAAGCACUUGUAAUUAUACUCAGGAAAUCAACUUACACCAUAUCGUCUCGCUCUUUGUUAACAGAACAAUAAAUAAAUCGCUAGAAUGAUACAAGGGUGUGGAGGAUUAAAUUAUGAGAAUUUAUUGCAUAAACCUAGUUUUUAUUUAUGUAUGGAAAAUUGAGGAGUGAUCUGUUGAUUUAAAGUGUUGAAAGGAUUCUCUCGACUGGAUAUGGAGAAACUAUUUUCUCUAAUUGGGAAACUGGGAGUAAUGGAACCCAAUUUUAAACUCAGAGUUGACCACUUAGGAGAGAAAUUAGGAAACAUUGUUUUUCACACAUCAAGUAGACAGAAAUCAGUAAUCCUGUCUCCAAUAGGAUCUGAAUGCAAGGACAAACUAAGCUUUUGAGAUAGGGAUAGCUAGAUUUUUCUUAGGUGUUAUGAUUCCAGCUGAUAUUAUUUCCGAACAAAUCA